RNAcentral lists this long non-coding RNA (1212 nucleotides) under Salmo salar (Atlantic salmon). RNAcentral describes it as "lncRNA (ENSSSAG00000082084.1)". Lineage: Eukaryota; Metazoa; Chordata; Actinopteri; Salmoniformes; Salmonidae. The record is from RNAcentral.
CUGGUACUCCCUGUAUAUAGCUCCACACUGAUCUGGUACUUCCUGUAUACAGCUCCACAUUGAUCUGGUACUCCCUGUAUAUAGCUCCACAUUGAUCUGGUACUCCCUGUAUAUAGCUCCACAUUGAUCUGGUACUCCCUGUAUAUAGCUCCACAUUGAUCUGGUACUCCCUGUAUAUAGCUCCACAUUGAGCCUGUACUUCCGUAUACUCCAGUGUAUUUAGUAUUAUUCCCCGUUUUACAUUAUUUAAUGUUUUAACUCUGCAUCGUUGAGAAGGGCUAGUAACCAAUCAUUACAUUGGGGACAUUGCCCUGUGUACGGUGCUGUCUUUCAGAUGGGAUGUUAAAUGGGUGUCCUGACUCUCUGAGGUCACUAAAGAUCCCAUGGCGCUUAUCGUAAGAGUAGGGGCGUUAACCCCUGGUGUCCUGGCUAAAUUCCCAAGAUGGCCACCUAAUCAUCCCCAGCUUCCAAUUGGCUCAUUCAUCCCCUUCCUCUCCCCUGUAACUAUUCCCCAGGUCGUUGCUGUAAAUGAGAACGUGUUCUCAGUCAACUUACCUGGUAAAAUAACGGUAAAAUAAAAAUAAAAUAUAAAACAAUGUUAAAGUCUACAAACAGUAGGUAUUCGGCACACGUGACAUAAAACUUGAUUUAUAGUUUUGAAGAAGAGGAUAUUUUCCAGAAGACCCAGGGGGUGGCGCCACCGUGUGGACAGCAGGUGUAAAUGCAGCAGCAGCGUAGCAACAUGAACGCUCUCCUUUCCUCCUCACUGCUCCCUCACCAGAGACGCCACAUGGACAUUAUACAUGGCUGCCUGCAGACGACACAAACAGACAAAGAUGGCCGUCAUAACCAACAUAAUAAAACAAUAACCUCUAGCUUAGGGUCAGGGGUCAGCUGUAUGAAGCCUACCUCAGGGUCAGGUGUCAGCUGUAUGAAGCCUACCUCAGGUCAGGGGUCAGCUGUAUGAAGCCUACCUCAGGGUCAGGAGAAACAGACAGGUCUCAGCUGGGUCAGGAGAAACAGACAGGUUUCAGCUGGGUCAGGAGAGGAGAAACAGACAGGUGUAGGUCUGAGAUCAGAUCAAGAGAGGAGCAACUCUGAGCUAAAACAGACCGAAUCGAGUACCUUGAAUCCAAUGAUGAAAAGGCUGAGUGUGUCCAGGACAGUCAGACACACUACCCCGAGUACGCUGCAGAACAGACACACUACCCC